UACGUAGGGGGCUAGCGUUGUCCGGAAUCAUUGGGCGUAAAGCGCGCGUAGGCGGCCAGAUAAGUCCGGUGUGAAAGUCACAGGCUCAACCUGUGAAUGCCGCUGGAAACUGUCUGGCUCGAGUCCGGAAGAGGAGAGUGGAAUUCCCGGUGUAGCGGUGAAAUGCGCAGAUAUCGGGAAGAACACCCGUGGCUAAGGCGGCUCUCUAGUACGGUACUGACGCUGAGACGCGAAAGCGUGGGGAGCGAACAGG
Molecule: ribosomal RNA, 253 nt
Filed under: uncultured bacterium
Lineage: Bacteria
Description: partial 16S ribosomal RNA
Rfam family: Bacterial small subunit ribosomal RNA
Source: RNAcentral